GCCAAUGUCAGGACAUGAAAGCUUUGGACCUAUCCUCCUUGGACAGAACCUGCAAACUCAGAAGUGGCAAUGAAGGGCUGGAGAACGGGGGACCCUCUGUGGAUUCUGAAGGAGGAGCUGUUUCAGGAACACAGCUUUGAGAGAGUAACGCUUCGUUGAGACCAUCUGGAC
Molecule: long non-coding RNA, 171 nt
Organism: Orcinus orca (killer whale)
Lineage: Eukaryota; Metazoa; Chordata; Mammalia; Artiodactyla; Delphinidae
Exons: 3
Source: RefSeq, a predicted model, not a curated record